This 559-nucleotide ribosomal RNA is filed under the name uncultured bacterium. Its description in RNAcentral is "partial 16S ribosomal RNA". It matches the Rfam family "Bacterial small subunit ribosomal RNA", at positions 355 to 935 of the family's 1533-position model. The record is from RNAcentral.
UGGGGAAUAUUGGACAAUGGGCGCAAGCCUGAUCCAGCAAUGCCGCGUGAGUGAUGAAGGCCUUCGGGUUGUAAAGCUCUUUCGCACGCGACGAUGAUGACGGUAGCGUGAGAAGAAGCCCCGGCUAACUUCGUGCCAGCAGCCGCGGUAAUACGAAGGGGGCUAGCGUUGUUCGGAAUUACUGGGCGUAAAGGGCGCGUAGGCGGCCUGUUUAGUCAGGAGUGAAAUCCCCGGGCUCAACCUGGGAAUUGCUUUUGAUACUGGCAGGCUUGAGUUCCGGAGAGGAUGGUGGAAUUCCCAGUGUAGAGGUGAAAUUCGUAGAUAUUGGGAAGAACACCGGUGGCGAAGGCGGCCAUCUGGACGGACACUGACGCUGAGGCGCGAAAGCGUGGGGAGCAAACAGAUUAGAUACCCUGGUAGUCCACGCCGUAAAACGAUGAAUGCUAGACGCUGGGGGGCUUGCCUUUCGGUGUCGCCGCUAACGCAUUAAGCAUUCCGCCUGGGGAGUACGGCCGCAAGGUUAAAACUCAAAUGAAUUAGACGGGGUCGAUAGCUGUUU